Molecule: ribosomal RNA, 253 nt
Filed under: uncultured bacterium
Lineage: Bacteria
Description: partial 16S ribosomal RNA
Rfam family: Bacterial small subunit ribosomal RNA
Source: RNAcentral
UACAGAGGGGGCAAGCGUUGUUCGGAAUUACUGGGCGUAAAGGGCGCGUAGGCGGCCUUCUAAGUCGAACGUGAAAUCCCCGGGCUCAACCCGGGAACUGCGUCCGAUACUGGAAGGCUUGAAUCCGGGAGAGGGAUGCGGAAUUCCAGGUGUAGCGGUGAAAUGCGUAGAUAUCUGGAGGAACACCGGUGGCGAAGGCGGCAUCCUGGACCGGUAUUGGCGCUGAGGCGCGAAAGCCAGGGGAGCAAACGGG